Mustela putorius furo (domestic ferret) is the source of this 117-nucleotide ribosomal RNA. The record is from Ensembl. Lineage: Eukaryota; Metazoa; Chordata; Mammalia; Carnivora; Mustelidae.
UUCUACAGCCCUACUACCUGGAAUGUGAUCAAUCUCGUCUAAUCUCAGAAGCUAAGCAGAGCUGGGCCUGGUUAGUACUUGGAUGGGAGAAUAAGUGACAAAAGGAUGCAGUACAUG